AAUGCAUGUCGGUCACUCGGUCAGUCGGUCUGUGAUUUUUAUUACAUGCUUGGGUGUUCAGUUGUGCUUAUCAAAGUUUAUUUCAUCUUAAAAUUUAUACUUUAGGUGAAAUAAUAGUCUUUUUUGUCGGUGACGAGUUCAAGCAGAUAACAACUAACCAAAAGUGUGGUUAACCGUACUUGGGUAUCUUAAAUAUAACGGGAAAGUAGCAAGGUUAUACGUCAAAUAUACGAAGAGCUUUAUCAUACGGUAAUCGGUCAGUGAAAAUGGAAAGCAAAAUUCUUUUGACGUUGUCUGCCAUAUUAGUAUUCCCCCUUAAUAAAGGCCACAUGAUUUUGUUCCCCCAUUAUUUGGAAAAAGGCGAAACGAUCACACUUGGUGGUGAUUUUGGACGGGACAAAAUGCCGCAUGUGAAUCAUCUGACGUGGUGGUUCAACGGCAGCCUCGUCCCCGGGGGCUUUAAGGGCACUAUUGUCGCAAUGGUGCAGCGUGACCAAGGAACACCUUUCUGGGGAGGUUUGGCGAGAGGAGACAACUUGUCUUUAGAAAAAAAUGGGUCCUUGACCAUCACGAACGCGGGCAAGGACAAUGAAGGAAACUACGUAGCAAGAUGGCGAAAUAAAUAUUUCGCGGCUCAUGACGUUCUUCUGUUUCAACCAGGCACCAAAGAGCACAUCGCCGGUGUCAAGUACGGGUGUAAGGAAGGCGAAGAAUUAAUAAAGUGCUAUUUUGCUCACCCUGGCCGCAAAAUAUUGAUAAGAAUAUGUCGAAUCUGGCGAACACAAGACCUAAGGAAAAGGAUUUGCGACGCCGACGCCGUCGACCACAAGAUGUACGUUGACGCUAAAGUCGAAUCAGGCCAGCCUAUCGAGGUGGUGUUUGAAGAUACGACGAACAAACCUCAAGGCACCUCAGACCUAUUCGUUCAGUUUUUGGAUAGAUCCAAGAUUCUCCGAUCCGUACAAUCCUCAAAUGGCGCGUCUAUCUACGAAAACUGAAGCAUCCAACUCGACUCAGAACCCUGAAUCAAAGUCUAGUCAGCAAUCGCCUAAUGAGGGAACCACGGACGGUCUAGAAAAUCGAGAUGAAUCAACGACUAUGCAAAGUCUCCGAUCGGUAACGCCAUCACAAACACGCGUUUCCAAUACAGAAGAGCAAGUGGCCCCUACCCCCUCACAAGCCACGGCAACGACAAAAGGUCCCUUCAGAACAACAAAGGGAAACGAUGGCAUUUUUGUCGUAAGUCGUCCAACGUCAGAUCGUGAUAGGGAUUAUGUUAUUGGACUUUGUACUGGAGUUUUAAUUGUACUGGGAGUAGGCGCUAUUGUUAUUCUGUGUGUUAUUCUCUAUCGUCGUUACCGCAAACGUAGAGAGCGACAAUCUGACCAAUACCAAAGAACAAUGGCUUCAGCCUCUGAAAGGCUGGUUUACAGCCUUCAACUGUAGUGAAGGCAGAAUUGGCCAACUAUGUAAAGUGUAGUUAAAGAGUUUUAUAACUGAGUUAUAAUCAUUUUCAAUCAAUGUAUUCGAGGCGCGCAGUCAAAAUAGUUAGCAUGAAAAGAGCUAGAAAGAGCAUCCUAAGUUUAGAAGAUUUGGAAGAUUCGGUGGCGAAAAGUUCGAAAAAUGCAUGUCGACGUUCAAUGUCGGCUAAUUUUGUACAAAAUUGUACAGUACGUGCAAAAAAGCCUAACCACUUUUUGAAAAGUUUUUUAAUAAUUGAUAACAAAAUUUGCCAACUUCGCUCGGCGAAUAUUUUUGGUAUCUUCUUUUACGUAUUGCAACCGCCAAUGCAACCAAACGUUUCGAUUUUGAACUGGUUCAAAGAGAGAUUAUUUUGUGUUAUAAGAUAGAUAUUUACAUAGAAUAUAUUUUUUUUGAAAAUAGAGUAUUUUUUAAAGGGGGUUUACAGUCGCUUCUGUGCAUCGGUUCUGCUCAUACAAUGGAUAGUCUACACUUCUUUCAAAUUUUGCAUGUUUCGUAUAUUUCUGAACAUAAACUCUCUCUCGUAUUCGUUUAGGAGUAUAGCAAACUAUAAGCGUGUCAAAUAUUCUGAAAGUUUUUGAUAUUUUAGGAAAUAUACGGAUUCAAAAUGUAAACAAGGAUUUUAAACCACCUUUAAACUACUGUUUAAAUAUUUUUGUAUAUUAAAUAUUUUAAUAUCAAUGUCUGUAGAUAUUUGGAAUUUAUUCUAUUUAAAGAAUUUGUAAAUGUGGCAGUACAUUUUUC
This 2226-nucleotide unclassified non-coding RNA is filed under the name Dendronephthya gigantea. RNAcentral's name for it is "uncharacterized LOC114519607, transcript variant X3". Lineage: Eukaryota; Metazoa; Cnidaria; Anthozoa; Malacalcyonacea; Nephtheidae. The record is from RNAcentral.